CAUGCACUGGUGGGGUCCUUCGGCCUGGCCUGUGCCCUCUAGCAAUCCAGGUUCUCUGAGGGGAUGUCAGAGAGCAGUUUUCACCUGAUCCCUGCAGGCCAGGCCGAGGGACCUCACCAGUGCAUG
Non-coding RNA from Myotis lucifugus (little brown bat), 126 nucleotides. The record is from Rfam. NCBI's taxonomy places the organism in Eukaryota, Metazoa, Chordata, Mammalia, Chiroptera, Vespertilionidae.